AACGAACGCUGGCGACAGGCUUAACACAUGCAAGUCGAGCGCCCCGCAAGGGGAGCGGCAGACGGGUGAGUAACGCGUGGGAACGUACCUUUUGGUUCGGAACAACUCCGGGAAACUGGAGCUAAUACCGGAUAAGCCCUAACGGGGAAAGAUUUAUCGCCGAAAGAUCGGCCCGCGUCUGAUUAGCUAGUUGGUGAGGUAACGGCUCACCAAGGCGACGAUCAGUAGCUGGUCUGAGAGGAUGAUCAGCCACACUGGGACUGAGACACGGCCCAGACUCCUACGGGAGGCAGCAGUGGGGAAUAUUGGACAAUGGGCGCAAGCCUGAUCCAGCCAUGCCGCGUGAGUGAUGAAGGCCUUAGGGUUGUAAAGCUCUUUUGUCCGGGAAGAUAAUGACUGUACCGGAAGAAUAAGCCCCGGCUAACUUCGUG
RNAcentral lists this ribosomal RNA (431 nucleotides) under uncultured bacterium. RNAcentral describes it as "partial 16S ribosomal RNA". It matches the Rfam family "Bacterial small subunit ribosomal RNA", at positions 29 to 507 of the family's 1533-position model. The record is from RNAcentral.